CGCGAAUGCAGUGAGAAUCUGCAUGGCCGAAAGCCUCAGGUUUCUGGAGGAAGGUUCGUCCGCUCCAGGUUAGUCGGGAGCUAAGGUGAGGCCUAACGGCGUAGCCGAUGCACAGACGGUAGAGAUUCCGUCACCACCAAAAGAGUUAAACACAGGGACACAUUUGAAGUCUCGGAGCCGGGUGUUGGUUCCGGUAGCGAUCGAGGGAAGUUAGUACCGAAGUCCGGGAUGGAAGAUGGCGAGAAAAGCUGUGUGUAUUUCUGCGGUGCCCGUACCGCAAACCGACACAGGUAGGUAGGAAGAAGAUUCUAAGGCCAACGGGAGAAGGGUUGUUAAGGAACUCGGCAAAUUGACCCCGUAACUUCGGGAGAAGGGGUGCUGCAGCGAUGCAGCCGCAGAGAAUCGGCCCAAGCAACUGUUUACCAAAACACAGGUUUGUGCUAAAUCGAAAGAUGACGUAUACGAGCUGACGCCUGCCCGGUGCUGGAAGGUUAAGAGGAGAUGUGCAAGCAUUGAAUCGAAGCCCCAGUGAACGGCGGCC
RNAcentral lists this ribosomal RNA (541 nucleotides) under uncultured bacterium. Its description in RNAcentral is "bacterial LSU rRNA". It matches the Rfam family "Bacterial large subunit ribosomal RNA", at positions 1315 to 1935 of the family's 2925-position model. The record is from RNAcentral.